UGUCAAGCAAGGCGUUGAUCAGAAGCUGGU
This 30-nucleotide non-coding RNA is filed under the name Macaca fascicularis (crab-eating macaque). The record is from RNAcentral. RNAcentral also lists the same sequence under 1 other name. Lineage: Eukaryota; Metazoa; Chordata; Mammalia; Primates; Cercopithecidae.